UUGUCGGGGGCCCGCACAAGCGGUGGAGCAUGUGGUUUAAUUCGAAGCAACGCGAAGAACCUUACCAGGUCUUGACAUCCUCUGACAAUCCUAGAGAUAGGACGUCCCCUUCGGGGGCAGAGUGACAGGUGGUGCAUGGUUGUCGUCAGCUCGUGUCGUGAGAUGUUGGGUUAAGUCCCGCAACGAGCGCAACCCUUGAUCUUAGUUGCCAGCAUUCAGUUGGGCACUCUAAGGUGACUGCCGGUGACAAACCGGAGGAAGGUGGGGAUGACGUCAAAUCAUCAUGCCCCUUAUGACCUGGGCUACACACGUGCUACAAUGGACAGAACAAAGGGCAGCGAAACCGCGAGGUUAAGCC
This 358-nucleotide ribosomal RNA is filed under the name Enterococcus faecalis. Its description in RNAcentral is "bacterial SSU rRNA". It matches the Rfam family "Bacterial small subunit ribosomal RNA", at positions 910 to 1269 of the family's 1533-position model. Lineage: Bacteria; Bacillati; Bacillota; Bacilli; Lactobacillales; Enterococcaceae. The record is from RNAcentral.